RNAcentral lists this ribosomal RNA (497 nucleotides) under uncultured bacterium. Its description in RNAcentral is "partial 16S ribosomal RNA". It matches the Rfam family "Bacterial small subunit ribosomal RNA", at positions 28 to 507 of the family's 1533-position model. The record is from RNAcentral.
GAUGAACGCUGGCGGCGUGCCUAAUACAUGCAAGUCGAGCGAACAGACGAGGAGCUUGCUCCUCUGACGUUAGCGGCGGACGGGUGAGUAACACGUGGAUAACCUACCUAUAAGACUGGGAUAACUUCGGGAAACCGGAGCUAAUACCGGAUAAUAUAUUGAACCGCAUGGUUCAAUAGUGAAAGACGGUUUUGCUGUCACUUAUAGAUGGAUCCGCGCCGCAUUAGCUAGUUGGUAAGGUAACGGCUUACCAAGGCAACGAUGCGUAGCCGACCUGGGAGGGUGAUCGGCCACACUGGAACUGAGACACGGUCCAGACUCCUACGGGAGGCAGCAGUAGGGAAUCUUCCGCAAUGGGCGAAAGCCUGACGGAGCAACGCCGCGUGAGUGAUGAAGGUCUUCGGAUCGGAAAGCUCUGUUAUUAGGGAAGAACAAAUGUGUAAGUAACUAUGCACGUCUUGACGGUACCUAAUCAGAAAGCCACGGCUAACUACGUG